RNAcentral lists this small nucleolar RNA (124 nucleotides) under Vulpes vulpes (red fox). RNAcentral's name for it is "Small nucleolar RNA SNORA70 (ENSVVUG00000022362.1)". It matches the Rfam family "Small nucleolar RNA SNORA70". Rfam says of the family: snoRNA U70 seems to be exclusive to mammals and is a member of the H/ACA class of snoRNA which contain H (ANANNA) and ACA box motifs. H/ACA box snoRNAs are involved in the conversion of uridines to pseudouridines (5-ribosyluracil) a constituent of structural RNAs (transfer, ribosomal, small nuclear, and small nucleolar). Lineage: Eukaryota; Metazoa; Chordata; Mammalia; Carnivora; Canidae. The record is from Rfam by way of RNAcentral.
CUGCAGCCGAUGGAGGCGACUGUGCUCUUCGACCCAGUGUGCCAGGGCCGCAGACAGUAGCCUCCCUGGCAGCGAGUGCAGCCUGUUGAUGGUAUGGGUGCCCCCCCCCACCUCGGGCACAGCC